Molecule: ribosomal RNA, 381 nt
Filed under: uncultured eukaryote
Lineage: Eukaryota
Description: SSU rRNA
Rfam family: Eukaryotic small subunit ribosomal RNA
Source: RNAcentral
AGCUCCAAUAGCGUAUAUUAAAGUUGUUGCAGUUAAAAAGCUCGUAGUUGAAAUUCAGACCUGGUCGAGUGGUCCGCCUAACGGUGUGUACUGCUUGACUGGGCCUUACCUCUUGGUGAACGGGCGUGCCCUUUAUUGGUGUGCGUCCGGGAACCAGGACUUUUACCUUGAGAAAAUUAGAGUGUUCAAAGCAGGCCUAUGCCCGAAUACAUUAGCAUGGAAUAAUAAAAUAGGACGUGCGGUUCUAUUUUGUUGGUUUCUAGAGUCGCCGUAAUGAUUAAUAGGGACAGUUGGGGGCAUUGGUAUUGAGUCGCUAGAGGUGAAAUUCUUGGAUUGACUCAAGACCAACUAUUGCGAAAGCAUCUGCCAAGGAUGUUUUCA